This 73-nucleotide transfer RNA is filed under the name Psychrolutes paradoxus (tadpole sculpin). Its description in RNAcentral is "tRNA-Asn". It matches the Rfam family "tRNA". From Rfam's summary of the family: Transfer RNA (tRNA) molecules are approximately 80 nucleotides in length. Their secondary structure includes four short double-helical elements and three loops (D, anti-codon, and T loops). The record is from RNAcentral. Lineage: Eukaryota; Metazoa; Chordata; Actinopteri; Perciformes; Psychrolutidae.
UAGAUGGAUGCUCACUGGUUUAAGCACUUAGCUGUUAACUAAGAGUUUGUAGGAUCGAGGCCUACCCACCUAG